Oreochromis niloticus (Nile tilapia) is the source of this 5309-nucleotide long non-coding RNA. RefSeq lists it as uncharacterized. NCBI's taxonomy places the organism in Eukaryota, Metazoa, Chordata, Actinopteri, Cichliformes, Cichlidae. The transcript has 7 exons. The record is from RefSeq and is a predicted model, not a curated record.
UAUAGUUCCUACAUCUGUUUCUUUGUGUGUGUCUUGUAACUAAUGUGGGAGGAGCCAUUAACAAACAGCUGGAGCAGAGAGCUGAUCACUGAAAACAGACAGAUUCAGACAGAGAGACAGACAGAGCUGUAUCAGAGAGAGGUGGGACGCUGAAGACAGAAAAAUGUCUUUUUUUGAUUUCUGGAGCAGAACGAAGGAGAGAGGCGCGCUGCUGAGGAGAGCCAAUCAGCUGAGGCUGAAUCCGUCACAGCUGUGUUUGAUGAACCAGCAGAGGUGGAUGCCCUCAAAGCCAAACUGGAUGAAAUAGUCAGGAUUCACAGCCAGGUUGUAGAGGACUCCCCCACUUCAGUGAAGUUGUUUCCGGCGGGACAAAGGCAUCGUAUCCCAAGACAUCCAGGAGAUUGGAGAAAAGAGCCAGCAGCCAUCAGUUAGUUUUCCUUCUACAACUCGAGGUGCCAACACCCUCUAAGUUAUCCAAGCAAUAUUUGUGCCUAUUGUAGUCCAGGAUUGCUUCUUGCUUUCACACAUCCUUUAUUCCCCAUCACUGACUGCUGGUUCCCUGUGUGUUGCUGUCAAAAGAAGCACAUUCCUCCGUUGCUUUGGCAUGUGGGAUAUCGCCGUGGUAGUUUUGGUGAAGCCAAAGACAGAAAACAAAAUCUUCCUCUGUUGCAACUGGAGGAGCUGGGGAGGAAGCUCUGGGUUGUUUCCCCUGUGCCAGUUUUCAUCUGAGGAGUUCCUCUGCCAAGGUGACCGAAGUAAAGACGUUGUCCUCUAAGCUCCUCCGUCAGUUGGAGUCUGAACCCCAUGCCAUUUAUUACUUCCUGAGAGCUUCCAGUGUUGUCAUCCAACAUGCUAUGUAUUGCUUUAUUCUGGUUUAGGCUUUAUCUCCACUUCAUUUAUAAUCCUCCAAUUCUCACACCUUCGCCUCCUGUGCAGGUUUGUAAGGCUGCACAGCAGCUAAAAGAUCUCCUUUGUUAUAAAAAAGUCAAAAGUAGAUCUCAGGCUGCUAAUGCAGGGAACUGCAUACAGGGUGAGCCCUGGUUUGAUACCAGUGGGUACUGGAUUGUAGAGCAGUCUCUCUUCAGUGGUGGGCCCACAUGGUUUUCCUUUCAUGAGGGAUCCACUCAGUCACCGGCUCCUCGGUCUCAGAAAAUGCUCCUAUGUUCUUUUCCAUCAGCUGCUCGGCCUCCACCUCCAUGCCCCCCAACCCCAAUCCUCCCCCAAAGAAGAGGAUUCAGGCACUGGCUAGUAAUCAUCAGUGGUGAUGCAGUCAGCCUCUUUGGAGAUUGGCCCCUCAUUUUCUGGAGAGGAAGUUUCUUCAUCUUGGGCAGAUGUCUUUUCUUCAAGGGCAGAGGACUGCUUGAUGUCCUUGCUCUCUGACCAGAUCAUAUAGACAGUGCUUGAAGCAGUGAUGACCUUCUUGCCAUAUUGCCAGAAUAAAUGUUCUGGAAGCUGUUAGGCUUACUUACAGCAGUAGCUCUGUCUGCACCUGCAUAAACUCCAGGACACGUUUACAAACAGUGUUUGUUGUUGUUUGCGCUGCAGCUGCAGGUUUGAACUCUGCAAAAUGUCCUGUGAUUGUUUUUUUAAGAGUUAAUAUUUUGGGUAUGGUAUCUUUUUAUGAAAAAUACAAGAGUAAAAGUGCUUUUAACAUGUGCUUUGUUAAGAUUCAUUUUGAGGAGAGAGAGGUGGAGGAGAUCGGAAUAACACACUGACCCUGCCAGGUGGAGUCAAACGAUGAGUUUAAUGAACACACGCGUGGGAGAAUGAGCUGACCCUGUACACAGACAGCAUCAAAAUCUCAUCUCAACAAUGACACAGCAUUAGUUUUAUCCCGUCGAGGUAUAUUUUUACUGACGCCCUCUCUACGUCAGUCACAUGCAUCAGUUUCAAAACCACAAAUGUUCUAUUUGACAACUUGUGACACAAUUAAAAGAACAUUGCCUCGUCCAUAUCCCAGGUGCACUCAAAAAAGUCAACUAAGGCAGUUGUUUGAUUAAUUCAAUAGACAUUUGUCUAUUUAACAUGAACGUAUUGAGUUUAGGUUUUUAAAUCAUUAUCAGUUGUUGGUUUAACAUAAAAUAACAAAAAGUUUAAUGAACUAGAUUUGCAUUAUUCAGUUCAAUUAAAUGUAAUCAUUUUAAAUCAACAACUCUAAAACCGAUGCCUAGUGCGCAUGCUCAAACUUCCCAGAAGUGAAGAGGCGGGAACGCGGAAAAAGUUAUGUGUUCAGUGAACUGCCGUUUCCCUCUGCGGAUUCUUCCACAAUACAGGUAAGUAAUAAAUAACUGAAAAUAUCUUAGUCAAACGAAGUUGUUCCGUUGGUUAAUUGUUUAACAAUGUUUUUAAUUCCAAAUGUGUAAUUUGUCAUUAGACAGCGGGAGUGGAGCAAAUACAGUGAAAAUCGGGUAUUAGACGGUACCAAUCGGUACCGUCUAAUACCUGAUUUCUAAUCCGCUCCGGCUAUAUUUAUAUUAUUAUUAGCAUUUCCACUUCAUUGCUUUUCUUUUUUUUGGUUACCCGUUUUUGCAGUUAGUCUUAUAGUGUUUUUAGCGGUUAUUGAUAUGUUUAGUUCAAUAUCUAACACGUUUGUAAUUCACUUUCAAAGUAAAUGAAGUUAGCUAAAGCUAGUAUGGUUGUCUCAUUAAACUUUUACCUAGCUCUGUUAGCAUUCACUUUGGUUUUAACUGACGGUUAUUGCAAGACAUGGUCUUUCUUCACUUUUUCUUAUUAUCAUUUGCAUUUCUUCUUCUUUCUUUCUUUCUUUCUUUCUUUCUCUCUCCUUUUUUUUUUAAGCAUUCGGCCUCUCGCGGUAAUGCAAGUUAAACUAGCGUGCGCGAGUUGCUAAAUAUUAGCUGUGUCUAAAUUCAGGGGCUGCAUCCUUCGAAUUGACUUGAACGCUAGUGCAUGGGAAAAAGAGCAUGAACACGAGGUCAGAGGAAAAGGCAAUGGCGGAUAGUUGUGAAAAUUGCCUGUCGGACCUUUACCGCAACUACCAGCAUCUUUAUUGCAUAGUGUGAAACACUGCUAUUACAUUUGGCAAGAGAUUGGAUAUUUAUCUGUGAAUUUUAUAUUGCACGAGGUAUUUAUAUGUAUUUGUACUUUUUUUAAUAUACAUUUGCAACAAAGUAAAAAAAAUCCACUGUGGAAUUUUUAUAAAAUAAUUUUGUCUGUUUUCUUUACCAUAGUAACACCACAAAGAAAGCUGCCCCCUUUUCCUGAUUGUUUGUGCCUCCUCUUUAAUACAUGUGACUUGUAUGUGGCAGUGCAAGCGUCGUUCCAUCAGGGAGAGUAGUAGAUUGACAAGGAGUUUCUGCGAAUCACCACAAAGCCUCUGCUAUCCACUUUCUUUGCCGAGCUUGACCAAUACGCGCCACACUUAAUGGAAAUCUUUCUGAGCAAAGGAGGGACACCUGGAAAGAAAAUAAGAGCAUGACAACAUCCAUACCAGACGAGCAUGCAUCUUGAAGUCCUUGUGCAUCUACCUAAACGAAGACUAUGAGAAGUUAAUAAAGGAGUACUUGGAUACGGAAAGCGAGGCAAAAAGCUGCAUGGAGCAAACUGUGAUGGGGGUGUACGUCAUCCAGAAGGAGGGGUGCUGAACCUGAAGAUGACCCAGAGGACAUUGGUGUCGUGAUUGAGGGUGUGGAGGCUCUCACUGAUUUGGGUAACAUUGCACAAGCAUGUGCUCUGUUGUUUGGACUCAUAUACUGUUUGAACCUGAGCUACCCACCAGAACUUAAAUGCACCUUUGAAGUCCUCCAGAAGAUAAUUUUAAAUCUUGAUGGACAAAAGCUCUCUUCAAAGGCACAGUUUCUGAAAAACAAGCUUAUGGGGUGAGAGCACUUGAAAAUGACUGAUAGGUCUUGAAUGGUUCAUUGGUGCAAUGGUGAUUUCCAAUAUAUAAUGUUAACAUUUGAGUUUAUAUUUUUUUUCUUUCAUUUAAAAAAUAUAUUUUUUUAAGUUUUUGGAUUCUCUCUGUUGGGCAAUUCACCUUUUAUACAGCACUGCAGAUGAUUUUUGUUUGUCUUUAUAUAGAUGGCUCAAAAUGGAUCAGAAGUACUGUUCUGUUAAUUAUUUUUCAUUUAAUUUCAAGUUUGUAGUAUAGGUACUAAUUCACACAUACCAUAAUGCUGUCAUGUGUUGAAUGAAGAUAUCAUUGGAGUGCUUUAGUGCCCCCCUCUUUUUUUCCCCCUUUGUAGAACAAAGUCAACAUUUUACAGAAACUGCAUUGAGGGGUUUUCCCCGAGAAAUGUUCAUUGUUGUUUUUAGCUGCACUGUUACUAUGUUUAUGUGUCAAGGGCCUGUAAAGUUUAAGACCACUGCCACCUGUUAAGUUCACUGUAUUAUUUUAUUGUGUCAAUUUUGCUUGCUAGUAUGUUUUAAAACACAGCAAAACUAUAUUGCUAGCUGUGGAGAACUGCAACCAAAAUUAAAAAAUAAAUACAGAAAUAUAAAAAUUGGUCAAACUAAUAAUUAUUACAAUGAGAUACACCAAACAAAUGUAGUUUUUCAUUUCAAGUAAUUAAUUGUAUUUGAAAAAAAUUGUCAUGUCAUCUAAUUUGAUGUUAAGCCUUCUGUUUCUAUUUUAGUUUUACUUCCUAAAUUUUUUUCCAAAUUCACACAAUAGUAAUUCUAUUUUGUCAAAUGUUUUAACUUGCCAAGUGGGAGUGUAUUUUUAUCUUUUAGUUUAAUUUUUUAAAAUACAGUUAAUAUAUUGAGCAAAUUUUGCAUCUAUUUUUAGUUGUGGAAGCUUUGGUUCCAACAUAUUACCUAUAUAAAUAUUCUAACGUUUUACCUUUUGAAGUGGCAUAAUGCUUGCAGGUGUACAAAAUGGUAAGCUUUUAUAUUGUCCACUAAAUGCAGUUAAUAAAGUUAAUGUUAUCAUAAUCUGAUUGUGACUUUUUUGUAAAGUAGUGGGUUUCUAAAUGUGUAACAAAUGAAAACAAAUCUAAUUGAAAUAAUUCGAUUGAAAUGAGUGAAAUCAUCAGCCCCAUAUUGGUUUAUUAAGCAAGACUUGCAGUAAUUGCCUUGAUUAACAAAGUAGUUGUUCAAACAACAAGAUUUAAUUGUGUUUUCCAAAAGUUUUUAACCUGUGUAGAAUGAAUUAAAACACAUUUCACUCUAUAUACUUAAAUAAAUCACUUCAAACCAAUGCAAGUAUACCAUGUUGAUCCAACGUAAUCGGAUUACAUUAAACCACCAAAUGCCAAAUGUGUUGGUUUGACAUGAUCGAAAAUGGUUUAUUGUACUUGGUUGAAUUGUGUGCAAAUUGGGUGCCAUGAUUAAAUUGUGUUCAUCCAACAUCA